Molecule: ribosomal RNA, 484 nt
Filed under: Streptococcus sp. oral taxon C08
Lineage: Bacteria; Bacillati; Bacillota; Bacilli; Lactobacillales; Streptococcaceae
Description: bacterial SSU rRNA
Rfam family: Bacterial small subunit ribosomal RNA
Source: RNAcentral
GACGAACGCUGGCGGCGUGCCUAAUACAUGCAAGUAGAACGCUGAAGCUUGGUGCUUGCACCGAGCGGAUGAGUUGCGAACGGGUGAGUAACGCGUAGGUAACCUGCCUGGUAGCGGGGGAUAACUAUUGGAAACGAUAGCUAAUACCGCAUAAGAGUAGAUGUUGCAUGACAUUUGCUUAAAAGGUGCAAUUGCAUCACUACCAGAUGGACCUGCGUUGUAUUAGCUAGUUGGUGAGGUAACGGCUCACCAAGGCAACGAUACAUAGCCGACCUGAGAGGGUGAUCGGCCACACUGGGACUGAGACACGGCCCAGACUCCUACGGGAGGCAGCAGUAGGGAAUCUUCGGCAAUGGACGGAAGUCUGACCGAGCAACGCCGCGUGAGUGAAGAAGGUUUUCGGAUCGUAAAGCUCUGUUGUAAGAGAAGAACGAGUGUGAGAGUGGAAAGUUCACACUGUGACGUAUCUACCAGAAAGGACGCA